RNAcentral lists this long non-coding RNA (1102 nucleotides) under Agrilus planipennis (emerald ash borer). Its description in RNAcentral is "uncharacterized LOC112905652, transcript variant X1". Lineage: Eukaryota; Metazoa; Arthropoda; Insecta; Coleoptera; Buprestidae. The record is from RNAcentral.
UAUUCUAUUAAUCUGUUACAGUGUAUUAACAGUUUUCUAUUGUUCACAGUGUAAGUUGGCGUUGUGCAUCUGUGGUAUUCACUUUAACAUUUAUCUAUUGUGCGUAGCAUCUAUAGUACUUCAUUUAACAGUUAUCUAUUGUUCGCAUCAAUUGACGUUAUGCAUCUAUGAUUAUUUCACAUAUGUCAAAUAUGAUCUGUCAUGUAAAAUUGAGGCUUGUCAUCCUAUUAUAAUUGGACUGUUUUACUUACUUUUUGGUCUGUUUUUAGGUGUUCUUAAUCCCUUUUUUAAUUGAUAGUGUAAUUAAUAAAGUUUUUUGUCCAUUUCUGCAGAUUAUCUAAGAAAAGAGAGACUUAAAGUCAGCUUGGUCAUACUGAAACAAGCAUUGUCUAGAUGGGCUUCAUCUUUCCUGGACUAUAUUCUUGUUUUGCUACUUUGUCCUCACCUUGAACCAUUAUGCAGUCAAUUUUCAACCGACGAGUGAGAGCAACUGGAGGUUUCUUUGAGUUCUUUUGAAACAACAAAUUUUCUGCUAUGGUAUUCCUCCUGGAUUUGGUUUGCUUUUCAGACAUGCAAAUUUUGGAAUAUUACAGUCUACACUUAAUUAAGAUUGUCCAUGAAAAGGAAUUCAGUUAAUUUUCGAUGCUAAUGGAGCAACUGAUGCUUUUGAUGUAAGGGAGAGAACUGGAAAUUAAUUUGGAAACCACCCAAGCAACAGAUUGUCUGCAGUGGUACUCUCCUAGAUUUGGCUUGCGCAUUCCACAUUCGACCGCUACUUCACUUAAGAUUAUCUAAGAAAAGAGAGACUUAAAGUCAGCUUGGUCAUACUGAAACAAGCAUUGUCUAGAUGGGCUUCAUCUUUCCUGGACUAUAUUCUUGUUUUGCUACUUUGUCCUCACCUUGAACCAUUAUGCAGUCAAUUUUCAACCGACGAGUGAGAGCAACUGGAGGUUUCUUUGAGUUCUUUUGAAACAACAAAUUUUCUGCUAUGGUAUUCCUCCUGGAUUUGGUUUGCUUUUCAGACAUGCAAAUUUUGGAAUAUUACAGUGUACACUUAAUUAAGAUCGACGUUGGAGAAGACAAAGAUGACCCCAUAGUUGAA